UGCAAGUCGUACGAAAUUUUAACUCAGUGGCGGACGGGUGAGUAACGCGUAAGAAUUACCUUUAGGAGGGGGACAACAUCGGGAAACUGAUGCUAAUACCCCAUAUGCUUUCGAGUGAAAUGGAUUUUCCGCCUAGAGAGAAGCUUGCGUCUGAUUAGCUUGUUGGUGAGGUAAUGGCUCACCAAGGCGACGAUCAGUAUCUGGUUUGAGAGGAUGAUCAGACACACUGGAACUGAGACACGGUCCAGACUCCUACGGGAGGCAGCAGUAGGGAAUUUUCCGCAAUGGGCGAAAGCCUGACGGAGCAAUACCGCGUGAGGGAUGACGGCCUAUGGGUUGUAAACCUCUUUUUUCAGGGAGGAAUCAAUGACGUGUACCUGAAGAAUAAGCAUCGGCUAACUCCGUGCCAGCAGCCGCGGUAAGACGGAGGAUGCAAGUGUUAUCCGGAAUCACUGGGCGUAAAGCGUCUGUAGGUGGUCAAAUAAGUCAACUGUUAAAUCUUGAGGCUCAACCUCAAAACCGCAGUCGAAACUAUUAGACUAGAGUAUAGUAGGGGUAAAGGGAAUUUCCAGUGGAGCGGUGAAAUGCGUAGAGAUUGGAAGGAACACCGAUGGCGAAGGCACUUUACUGGGCUAUUACUAACACUCAGAGACGAAAGCUAGGGUAGCAAAUGGGAUUAGAUACCCCAGUAGUCCUAG
This 698-nucleotide ribosomal RNA is filed under the name uncultured bacterium. RNAcentral describes it as "bacterial SSU rRNA". It matches the Rfam family "Bacterial small subunit ribosomal RNA", at positions 56 to 799 of the family's 1533-position model. The record is from RNAcentral.